RNAcentral lists this ribosomal RNA (1040 nucleotides) under Corynebacterium sundsvallense. Its description in RNAcentral is "bacterial SSU rRNA". It matches the Rfam family "Bacterial small subunit ribosomal RNA", at positions 460 to 1503 of the family's 1533-position model. Lineage: Bacteria; Bacillati; Actinomycetota; Actinomycetes; Mycobacteriales; Corynebacteriaceae. The record is from RNAcentral.
GAAGCUUUUGUGACGGUAGGUUGAGAAGAAGCACCGGCUAACUACGUGCCAGCAGCCGCGGUAAUACGUAGGGUGCGAGCGUUGUCCGGAAUUACUGGGCGUAAAGAGCUCGUAGGUGGUUUGUCGCGUCGUGUGUGAAAUUCCGGGGCUUAACUUCGGGGUUGCAUACGAUACGGGCAUAACUUGAGUGCUGUAGGGGAGACUGGAAUUCCUGGUGUAGCGGUGAAAUGCGCAGAUAUCAGGAGGAACACCGAUGGCGAAGGCAGGUCUCUGGGCAGUAACUGACGCUGAGGAGCGAAAGCAUGGGGAGCGAACAGGAUUAGAUACCCUGGUAGUCCAUGCCGUAAACGGUGGGCGCUAGGUGUGAGGCCCUUCCACGGGUUUCGUGCCGUAGCUAACGCAUUAAGCGCCCCGCCUGGGGAGUACGGCCGCAAGGCUAAAACUCAAAGGAAUUGACGGGGGCCCGCACAAGCGGCGGAGCAUGUGGAUUAAUUCGAUGCAACGCGAAGAACCUUACCUGGGCUUGACAUACACCGAAUCGCUGCAGAGAUGUGGUUUCCCUUGUGGUUGGUGUACAGGUGGUGCAUGGUUGUCGUCAGCUCGUGUCGUGAGAUGUUGGGUUAAGUCCCGCAACGAGCGCAACCCUUGUCUUAUGUUGCCAGCAUGUUGUGGUGGGCACUUAUGAGAGACUGCCGGGGUUAACUCGGAGGAAGGUGGGGAUGACGUCAAAUCAUCAUGCCCCUUAUGUCCAGGGCUUCACACAUGCUACAAUGGUCGGUACAACGCGCAGCUACCUCGUGAGGGGACGCGAAUCGCUGAAAGCCGGUCGUAGUUCGGAUUGGGGUCUGCAACUCGACCCCAUGAAGUCGGAGUCGCUAGUAAUCGCAGAUCAGCAACGCUGCGGUGAAUACGUUCCCGGGCCUUGUACACACCGCCCGUCACGUCAUGAAAGUUGGUAACACCCGAAGCCAGUGGCCUGUCAAAAGGAGCUGUCGAAGGUGGGAUCGGCGAUUGGGACGAAGUCGUAACAAGGUAGCCGU